Long non-coding RNA from Aquila chrysaetos chrysaetos, 1482 nucleotides. RefSeq lists it as uncharacterized. The transcript is spliced from 3 exons. The record is from RefSeq and is a predicted model, not a curated record. Lineage: Eukaryota; Metazoa; Chordata; Aves; Accipitriformes; Accipitridae.
UGGAAAUGACCCACAGCCAAGCAAGCUGAGAAGACUGUCAUUAUUUAGUGCCUGAACUCUAAAGCGGGUUCAGAGCCGACAGUGUAGCUAAUGAUGGGAAGUGGUUAAUGAUGGGUCAAUGAUGGGAUAUGACUAAUGAAGGGGAAAGGAUUGCAGAACUGCAAAGUCACCGAGUGCACUGCACAGCAGAUAAAAACUCUCAAUAAACACAAUAACAGCAAAAAGAGUCUCUGGCAUGUCACUACUGCAAUAUGCACACCUUGAGUACCAGUGGUAAUCUGUUGGCUCUCCUGCUUAACAGCUAGCAAUGAUCAGACCAUCUACUAGACCUUAAGACAGAUCGUGGAGUGUUUUAUUGUUACACUGCCACCUCUGGAAGAUGUCUCAUCAGUCCACUGGGAAGAAUAAGGAAGCAGAGCAGGGAGUUGAAUGUCUAAUUAAACUGACGGAAGGUAUGUACUCAGCUCUGCAGAGACCCCUUGGGAGACAAAAGCAAGGAAAGAGGUGCUCAGUGCCCUUACAGGCCUGGGUUUUACCUUCGCUUUGUUUGUACCCUCAAAAACAUGGAAGGAUGUCUUGCUGUGUAGAUCUGGAAAUCUGAUAAUGUUAAUGUUUUGUUUCAUAACAAAAAUGGAGGCAUGGUAGAGAUAGACUUGAGGAGUGACUUCAUGCUUAGCACAGCUUGUUAUUUUAAAUGUCAGUCUCUUAGGGGAGGUUCCCAUGCCAACAAUUUUCUUCAGAGGUUAGACACUAUGAAAGUGGGUGAACACACACCCAACGGGUAAAUCAGUCAACCCUCCACCUUCAUAAAAAAGAGCAAAAAGCUUACGAAAAUGCACUAAUAAGUAGAGCAAACAGCUGGGAAACAGCAAGAAGGACAUUUUAUUUAAAACUGGAUAAAAAAACAAACUGUCACAAAAGAGUUGCUGCACUUCUAUGCAGCAUGCCACACCUAGGAGACCAAACAGCAACAUUAUCAUCUAUACCUAUUUAUUCAAGGCAGGGAUCUGACCUUUCCAGGCUCAUUUGUUUCCACAAACUUUGGUCAUGCUACUCAUGACUGCUCAUAUUCAUAAGACUUGCAGGAUUGGAACAUCAAAUAAUUGCUGAUAAUGUAAAGAAAGCGUGAUAGGAGGAACAAUACUGUUUCUUACUAUGUGAUUAUCUGUUUUUCUUUCUCUGAGAAAUCACUUCAAUUAUUCUGAUCAUUUUCCUGUCAAAGGUACAUUUUUAAAUUGGCCACUGCACUUCCACAGACAGAAAGCUUUUCUGUGAUCUUUGCAACAAAUCUUAAUGAAUACAUUAAACCGGGUACUAUAGUUCUCCUGAAUAAUAUUACUGUAAUUAUUUUGUUCCAGGUUUGUCAAUGUCCACCCAAUCAUCCUCUCAGUUGUACGGAGGAAAUGCCACCCUGCAGGUUGAACAACAGAUCAGACUGCUUCACGGGUUGGGUGGCUUCAGUCUUGUCACUUGACCCCAAAA